Molecule: ribosomal RNA, 515 nt
Filed under: Mycobacterium sp. N526
Lineage: Bacteria; Bacillati; Actinomycetota; Actinomycetes; Mycobacteriales; Mycobacteriaceae
Description: bacterial SSU rRNA
Rfam family: Bacterial small subunit ribosomal RNA
Source: RNAcentral
UGGAGAGUUUGAUCCUGGCUCAGGACGAACGCUGGCGGCGUGCUUGAACACAUGCAAGUCGAACGGAAAGGCCCCUUCGGGGGUACUCGAGUGGCGAACGGGUGAGUAACACGUGGGUAAUCUGCCCUGCACUUCGGGAUAAGCCUGGGAAACUGGGUCUAAUACCGGAUAGGACCCCGAGGCGCAUGCCUUGGGGUGGAAAGCUUUUGCGGUGUGGGAUGGGCCCGCGGCCUAUCAGCUUGUUGGUGGGGUGACGGCCUACCAAGGCGACGACGGGUAGCCGGCCUGAGAGGGUGUCCGGCCACACUGGGACUGAGAUACGGCCCAGACUCCUACGGGAGGCAGCAGUGGGGAAUAUUGCACAAUGGGCGCAAGCCUGAUGCAGCGACGCCGCGUGGGGGAUGACGGCCUUCGGGUUGUAAACCUCUUUCACCAUCGACGAAGGUCCGGGUUUUCUCGGAUUGACGGUAGGUGGAGAAGAAGCACCGGCCAACUACGUGCCAGCAGCCGCGGUA